GUGAGGAAUAUUGGUCAAUGGGCGAAAGCCUGAACCAGCCAUGUCGCGUGAAGGAUGAAGGUCCUAUGGAUUGUAAACUUCUUUUGCAGGAGGGUAAAGUGAGCUACGUGUAGUUCAUUGCAAGUACCCUGCGAAUAAGCAUCGGCUAACUCCGUGCCAGCAGCCGCGGUAAUACGGAGGAUGCGAGCGUUAUCCGGAUUUAUUGGGUUUAAAGGGUGCGUAGGCGGACUAAUUAGUCAGCGGUGAAAUUUUGCGGCUCAACCGUAAAACUGCCGUUGAAACUGUUAGUCUUGAGUGCGGUAGAGGUAGGCGGAAUGUGUGGUGUAGCGGUGAAAUGCUUAGAUAUCACACAGAACACCGAUUGCGUAGGCAGCUUACUGUAGCGCCACUGACGCUGAAGCUCGAAAGUGCGGGUAUCGAACAGGAUUAGAAACCCCAGUAGUCC
Molecule: ribosomal RNA, 445 nt
Filed under: uncultured bacterium
Lineage: Bacteria
Description: partial 16S ribosomal RNA
Rfam family: Bacterial small subunit ribosomal RNA
Source: RNAcentral